This 408-nucleotide ribosomal RNA is filed under the name Fusobacteriota bacterium. Its description in RNAcentral is "Fusobacteria bacterium partial 16S ribosomal RNA". It matches the Rfam family "Bacterial small subunit ribosomal RNA", at positions 355 to 776 of the family's 1533-position model. The record is from RNAcentral. Lineage: Bacteria; Fusobacteriati; Fusobacteriota.
UGGGGAAUAUUUCACAAUGGCCGGAAGUCUGAUGCAGCAACGCCGCGUGCGGGAUGACGGCCUUCGGGUUUUAAACCGCUUUUUCUCAUGACGAAGUUUUUUGACGGUAGUGGGGGAAGAAGCACCGGCUAACUACGUGCCAGCAGCCGCGGUGAUACGUAGGGUUCGAGCUUUUUCCGGAAUUAUUGGGCGUAAAGAGCUUGUAGGCGGUUUGUCGCGUCGAUAGUGCAAACUCAGUGCUUAACGCUGAGCCCGCUGUUGAUACGGGCAGACUAGAGGAAGGUAGGGGAGAAUGGAAUUCCCGGUGGAGCGGUGGAAUGCGCCGAUAUCGGGAGGAACACCGGUGGCGAAGGCGGUUCUCUGGGCCUUUCCUGACGCUGAGAAGCGAAAGCGUGGGGAGCGAACAGG